UGGAAGCGCAGUGUCACCAACGUGCUUUCCAACUUGGCGUCCGUCACGCCCUCCUCCUGCGUGCCGGAAAAGUUACAGGUGAGAAGGCAUACGGGUUGAUCUUUAGCGCCGGUCCAUUCAGCGGCGCAUUAUAAGAUUGUAUGUACUAACUCGCUCGUUGUGUCGGUUAUGAGUUGACAAACCUUCCGUAGCUUCAGCAACCGCUCUGUAAGCUCGCUCUCCUGCUUGAUCAGCUUUUCCAGCUUUAAAUACGAGAUCCAAAUGUUUCCUGCGUAGCCUACAAGCUCCGCAAACGCGCUUGCAUAAGCCAGGCGUUCCUCGAGGUCUUUGUUCAGCGCUCCAGUCUUGACGAGCCUGGCACACGUGUACAAUAUCGAUUUAUUUUAUUAAGAUGUGCGUGGGUGCGGUCAUCAUAAAACCAAACCGCAAAACUUACCAGGUGAAUUGCUCAAUGAAAUAGUAAAUACCCUCGCCACCGUACGCCAGCAGCUCCAGGAUAAUUGUGGCAUCUUUCGUUUUGCUAUGGCGCAGACUAUUGACAUCCUGGAGGAACUUGCCCAAUCGGAACGCUUUCCUGUAUGGCAACCGACAGAAGUCACGGAAAGAGCACCAUGACGAGGAGUUUGAAAGCCCUGCACCCACCG
RNAcentral lists this long non-coding RNA (644 nucleotides) under Volvox carteri. RNAcentral's name for it is "long non-coding RNA (VCAR_LNC002584)". The record is from RNAcentral. Lineage: Eukaryota; Viridiplantae; Chlorophyta; Chlorophyceae; Chlamydomonadales; Volvocaceae.